RNAcentral lists this ribosomal RNA (495 nucleotides) under uncultured bacterium. RNAcentral describes it as "partial 16S ribosomal RNA". It matches the Rfam family "Bacterial small subunit ribosomal RNA", at positions 28 to 523 of the family's 1533-position model. The record is from RNAcentral.
GAUGAACGCUGGCGGCGUGCUUAACACAUGCAAGUCGAGCGAAGCACCUAAGAAAGAUUCUUCGGAUGAAUUCUUUUGUGACUGAGCGGCGGACGGGUGAGUAACGCGUGGGUAACCUGCCUCAUACAGGGGGAUAACAGUUAGAAAUGACUGCUAAUACCGCAUAAGACCACGGUACCGCAUGGUACAGUGGUAAAAACUCCGGUGGUAUGAGAUGGACCCGCGUCUGAUUAGCUAGUUGGUGGGGUAACGGCCUACCAAGGCGACGAUCAGUAGCCGACCUGAGAGGGUGACCGGCCACGUUGGGACUGAGACACGGCCCAAACUCCUUCGGGAGGCAGCAGUGGGGAAUAUUGCACAAUGGGGGAAACCCUGAUGCAGCGACGCCGCGUGAAGGAUGAAGUAUUUCGGUAUGUAAACUUCUAUCAGCAGGGGAGAAAAUGACGGUACCUGACUAAGAAGCCCCGGCUAACUACGUGCCAGCAGCCGCCGUAA